Molecule: long non-coding RNA, 442 nt
Organism: Carya illinoinensis
Lineage: Eukaryota; Viridiplantae; Streptophyta; Magnoliopsida; Fagales; Juglandaceae
Exons: 2
Source: RefSeq, a predicted model, not a curated record
UUGUCUUGUUAUUUCAUUUUCUUUCAUUUUUCCCUUCUUCCCCUUCUGCUUACAGCCUACUUUUUGGCAAUCCUCUCUCUCUCUCUCUCUCUCUCUUCUUCGUUCCAUCCAACUCCCACCAACAAUAGCCACCACCCUCCACGACCUGUAACCUCACGUUGCCUCAGUGCCUCAGUCUUGUGCUCUGAAGAGGAAUAACGAAAAUGGCAGCUUUGGGGUCCGGGUCUAAGGAUCUCUCAAAUCUCCCCACUUUGUUUGUUGAAUCCUCUAAGCAUCUUUUUUUUUUUUUUAAUAUAAACAUAUAUUACAGAUUUUUUUUUAGUUUGGUUUAAUUACAUGUAUAUACGCAUGAUUUAUUUACUCAACUUGUAGAAAUUCAAACAUCUUACAGAUUGUAUUUGGGUUUGGUUUGGUUUCAUGCAUAUAUGAUUUAUUUGGUCAA